Non-coding RNA from Providencia rettgeri, 193 nucleotides. The record is from Rfam. NCBI's taxonomy places the organism in Bacteria, Pseudomonadati, Pseudomonadota, Gammaproteobacteria, Enterobacterales, Morganellaceae.
UUCCACGUCAUUGGGGAGUAGCCUGUUCUGGAAAUAUAUAUAUAUUCCAGAAAGUCCGUAUCAACAUACUCGUUUGAUUUCAAACGUGGUGCGGACACCAUAAUCUGGUUGGCAAGACCAUAGACACAUAAAUACGACCUUAGGUUGGGGGUAGGUUUAUGUGUAUAUGGAAACACCCAACCGAGGUUAUGUU